Molecule: transfer RNA, 62 nt
Filed under: Proasellus coxalis
Lineage: Eukaryota; Metazoa; Arthropoda; Malacostraca; Isopoda; Asellidae
Description: transfert RNA-W(TGA)
Source: RNAcentral
AGAAUUUUAAGUUAAUAAAACUAUCGGCCUUCAAAGCCGAAAAUAAUAUCAGUUAAAUUCUA